GAUGAACGCUGGCGGCGUGCUUAACACAUGCAAGUCGAACGAAGCACUUUAUUUGAUUUCCUUCGGGACUGAUUAUUUUGUGACUGAGUGGCGGACGGGUGAGUAACGCGUGGGUAACCUGCCUUGUACAGGGGGAUAACAGUUGGAAACGGCUGCUAAUACCGCAUAAGCGCACAGCAUCGCAUGAUGCAGUGUGAAAAACUCCGGUGGUAUAAGAUGGACCCGCGUUGGAUUAGCUAGUUGGUGAGGUAACGGCCCACCAAGGCGACGAUCCAUAGCCGACCUGAGAGGGUGACCGGCCACAUUGGGACUGAGACACGGCCCAAACUCCUACGGGAGGCAGCAGUGGGGAAUAUUGCACAAUGGGCGAAAGCCUGAUGCAGCGACGCCGCGUGAGCGAAGAAGUAUUUCGAUAUGUAAAGCUCUAUCAGCAGGGAAGAUAAUGACGGUACCUGACUAAGAAGCACCGGCUAAAUACGUG
This 481-nucleotide ribosomal RNA is filed under the name uncultured bacterium. RNAcentral describes it as "partial 16S ribosomal RNA". It matches the Rfam family "Bacterial small subunit ribosomal RNA", at positions 28 to 507 of the family's 1533-position model. The record is from RNAcentral.